GACGUAGGGGGCGAGCGUUGUCCGGAUUUAUUAGGCGUAAAGCGCGCGUAGGCGGCUGCGCAAGUCGGUUGUGAAACCCCGGGGCUCAACCCCGGAACUGCAUCCGAUACUGCGUGGCUAGAGGUAGGUAGGGGAGAUCGGAAUUCCUGGUGUAGCGGUGAAAUGCGCAGAUAUCAGGAGGAACACCGGUGGCGAAGGCGGUCUGCUGGGCCGUAGCUGACGCUGAGGCGCGACAGCGUGGGGAGCAAACAGG
This 253-nucleotide ribosomal RNA is filed under the name uncultured bacterium. Its description in RNAcentral is "partial 16S ribosomal RNA". It matches the Rfam family "Bacterial small subunit ribosomal RNA", at positions 524 to 776 of the family's 1533-position model. The record is from RNAcentral.